GACGAACGCUGGCGGCGUGCUUAACACAUGCAAGUCGAACGGAAAGGCCUCUUUCGGGGGGUACUCGAGUGGCGAACGGGUGAGUAACACGUGAGUAACCUGCCCUUGACUUUGGGAUAACUUCAGGAAACUGGGGCUAAUACCGGAUAGGAGCUCCUGCUGCAUGGUGGGGGUUGGAAAGUUUCGGCGGUUGGGGAUGGACUCGCGGCGUAUCAGCUUGUUGGUGGGGUAGUGGCUUACCAAGGCUUUGACGGGUAGCCGGGCCGUGAGGGUGACCGGCCACACUGGGACUUAGAUACGGCCCAGACGCCGACGGGAGGGAGCAGGGGGGAAUAUUGCACAAUGGGUGGAAGCCUGAUGCAGCAACGCCGUGUGCGGGAUGACGGCCUUCGGGUUGUAAAACGCUUUCGCUCAUGACGAAGCUUUGUGUGACGGUAGUGGGUAAAGAAGCACCGGCUAACUACGUG
RNAcentral lists this ribosomal RNA (467 nucleotides) under uncultured bacterium. Its description in RNAcentral is "partial 16S ribosomal RNA". It matches the Rfam family "Bacterial small subunit ribosomal RNA", at positions 28 to 507 of the family's 1533-position model. The record is from RNAcentral.